This 466-nucleotide ribosomal RNA is filed under the name uncultured bacterium. Its description in RNAcentral is "partial 16S ribosomal RNA". It matches the Rfam family "Bacterial small subunit ribosomal RNA", at positions 28 to 507 of the family's 1533-position model. The record is from RNAcentral.
GAUGAACGCUGGCGGCGUGCUUAACACAUGCAAGUCGAACGAUGAAGCCCAGCUUGCUGGGUGGAUUAGUGGCGAACGGGUGAGUAACACGUGAGUAACCUGCCCUUAACUCUGGGAUAAGCCUGGGAAACUGGGUCUAAUACCGGAUAGGAGCGCCUACCGCAUGGUGGGUGUUGGAAAGAUUUAUCGGUUUUGGAUGGACUCGCGGCCUAUCAGCUUGUUGGUGAGGUAAUGGCUCACCAAGGCGACGACGGGUAGCCGGCCUGAGAGGGUGACCGGCCACACUGGGACUGAGACACGGCCCAGACUCCUACGGGAGGCAGCAGUGGGGUAUAUUGCACAAUGGGCGAAAGCCUGAUGCAGCGACGCCGCGUGAGGGAUGACGGCCUUCGGGUUGUAAACCUCUUUCAGUAGGGAAGAAGCGAAAGUGACGGUACCUGCAGAAGAAGCACCGGCUAACUACGUG